RNAcentral lists this unclassified non-coding RNA (151 nucleotides) under soil metagenome. Its description in RNAcentral is "partial internal transcribed spacer 1". The record is from RNAcentral.
CCGAGUUUACAACUCCCAAACCCCUGUGAACAUACCAAUUGUUGCAUCGGCGGAUCAGCCCGUCUCCCCGGUAAAACGGGACGGCCCGCCAGAGGGACCCCUAAACUCUGUUUUAUAUGUAACAUUCUGAGUAAAACCAUAAAUAAAUCAA